AACGAACAUCGACCGCAGCGGGCAGGAGUGGGGGACCCACAUUUCGGGCGCCGCAAGCGGCGUCCUUGGGGUAAAGCCGGUGCGUCCCGGCCCAUGGUGGAGAGCGGUUCCCACCCGGGGUCGGAUCCUCCGGCCGGGCCAUCCCAGCCCGCACCCGACAGCUCACCCCGCAGGCGACGGGAUUGGACUG
RNAcentral lists this small RNA (190 nucleotides) under Frankia sp. RNAcentral describes it as "c-di-AMP sequence". It matches the Rfam family "c-di-AMP riboswitch aptamer (ydaO/yuaA leader)". From Rfam's summary of the family: This family represents a conserved RNA structure found upstream of the ydaO and yuaA genes in Bacillus subtilis and related genes in other bacteria. The ydaO/yuaA element is thought to act as a genetic "off" switch for the ydaO and yuaA genes in its native state. Lineage: Bacteria; Bacillati; Actinomycetota; Actinomycetes; Frankiales; Frankiaceae. The record is from RNAcentral.